CCCGAUGAACCUGAAUAUCCGUUAUGGAAAAUUCAUCAUUAAUAUUAUUAUAUUUAAAAAUAUAUUAAAAAUAGUGUGCAAUUUUUCCAUAUAAGGACAUUGUAAUCUGUUAAUGUAAUAAAUAUUUAUCAAAAAAUUUAAAACAUUAGUUUAUUCAAAUUAGUUAUUUUCGAAUUUCUAACAUAGAAUAAUUGUAUUAGAUUUGAUAAAUCAUUGACAGAUUUUACUAUAUAUAAUGCUUAAAUUCUUUUUGAAUUUUAUAAUUAUAGUAAAAAUUUAUUUUUAUUUAUAAUUAUAUGCAUUUAUAUGAUUAACAAUGCGAUAGAUUCAGGAUACCUUCGGGACCCGUCUUGAAACACGGACCAAGGAGUCUAACAUAUGUGCAAGUCAUUGGGUAUUUUUAAUAAAACCCAAUGGCAUAAUUAACUUAACUGUUUUUUAAUGGGAUUAGUUUGUAUUUUAUUAUGAAAUAUAAAUUCAAUCCCGGGGCGUUCUAUACAGUUAUGCAUAAUGAUAUUUAUAUUAUUUAUGCCUCUAACUAGAGCGUACCUUCAGCAUAUAUGCUGUGACCC
Molecule: ribosomal RNA, 572 nt
Filed under: Pipizella certa
Lineage: Eukaryota; Metazoa; Arthropoda; Insecta; Diptera; Syrphidae
Description: eukaryotic LSU rRNA
Source: RNAcentral